Molecule: ribosomal RNA, 301 nt
Filed under: uncultured bacterium
Lineage: Bacteria
Description: partial 16S ribosomal RNA
Rfam family: Bacterial small subunit ribosomal RNA
Source: RNAcentral
CAGUCGCCGCGGGAAUACAGAGGGUGCGAGCGUUAAUCGGAUUUACUGGGCGUAAAGCGUGCGUAGGCGGCUUUUUAAGUCGGAUGUGAAAUCCCUGAGCUUAACUUAGGAAUUGCAUUCGAUACUUGGAAGCUAGAGUAUGGGAGAGGAUGGUAGAAUUCCAGGUGUAGCGGUGAAAUGCGUAGAGAUCUGGAGGAAUACCGAUGGCGAAGGCAGCCAUCUGGCCUAAUACUGACGCUGAGGUACGAAAGCAUGGGGAGCAAACAGGAUUAGAUACCCCGGUAGUCCCUGUCUCUUAUAC